GCCCGGCUAGCUCAGUCGGUAGAGCAUGGGACUCUUAAUCCCAGGGU
Molecule: non-coding RNA, 47 nt
Organism: Sarcophilus harrisii (Tasmanian devil)
Lineage: Eukaryota; Metazoa; Chordata; Mammalia; Dasyuromorphia; Dasyuridae
Source: Rfam